GAUGAACGCUGGCGGCGUGCUUAACACAUGCAAGUCGAACGGAAAGGCCCACGCUUGCUUGGGUGCUCGAGUGGCGAACGGGUGAGUAACACGUGGGUGAUCUGCCCUGCACUUUGGCAUAAGCCUGGGAAACUGGGUCUAAUACCGGAUAGGACCAUCGUUUAAUGUCGGUGGUGGAAAGUUUUUUCGGUGUGGGAUGAGCUCGCGGCCUAUCAGCUUGUUGGUGGGGUAAUGGCCUACCAAGGCGCCGACGGGUAGCCGGCCUGAGAGGAUGUACGGCCACAUUGGGACUGAGAUACGGCCCAGACUCCUACGGGAGGCAGCAGUGGGGAAUAUUGCACAAUGGGCGCAAGCCUGAUGCAGCGACGCCCCUUGGGGGAUGACGGCCUUCGGGUUGCAAACUCCUUUCGCCAAGGACGAAGCGUUAUGUGACGGUACUUGGAGAAGAAGCACCGGCUAACUACCUGCCAGCAGCCGCGGUAAUACGUACGGUGCGAGCGCUGUCCGGAAUUACUGGGCGUAAAGAGCUCGCAAGUGCCUUGUCGCGUCGUUUGUGCAAUACCCCACCUUAACUGUGGGGUUGCACGCGAUACGGAUAUAACUUGGGUGCUGUAGGGGAGACUGGAAUUCCUGGUGUAGCGGUGGAAUGCGCAGAUAUCAGGAGGAACACCGAUGGCGAAGGCAGGUCUCUGGGCAGUAACUGACGCUGAGGAGCGAAAGCAUGGGUAGCGAACAGGAUUAGAUACCCUGGUAGUCCAUGCCGUAAACGGUGGGCGCUAGGUGUGAGUCCCUUCCACGGGGUUCGUGCCGUAGCUAACGCAUUAAGCGCCCCGCCUGGGGAGUACGGCCGCAAGGCUAAAACUCAAAGGAAUUGACGGGGGCCCGCACAAGCGGCGGAGCAUGUGGAUUAAUUCGAUGCAACGCGAAGAACCUUACCUGGGCUUGACAUACACCAGAUGGCUGUAGAGAUACAGUGUCCCUUGUGGUUGGUGUACAGGUGGUGCAUGGUUGUCGUCAGCUCGUGUCGUGAGAUGUUGGGUUAAGUCCCGCAACGAGCGCAACCCUUGUCUUAUGUUGCCAGCGGUUCGGCCGGGGACUCAUGAGAGACUGCCGGGGUUAACUCGGAGGAAGGUGGGGAUGACGUCAAAUCAUCAUGCCCCUUAUGUCCAGGGCUUCACACAUGCUACAAUGGUCGGUACAACGCGUGACGACACCGUGAGGUGAAGUGGAUCGCUGAAAGCCGGUCGUAGUUCGGAUUGGGGUCUGCAACUCGACCCCAUGAAGUCGGAGUCGCUAGUAAUCGCAGAUCAGCAACGCUGCGGAGAAUACGUUUCCGGG
RNAcentral lists this ribosomal RNA (1338 nucleotides) under uncultured bacterium. Its description in RNAcentral is "16S ribosomal RNA". It matches the Rfam family "Bacterial small subunit ribosomal RNA", at positions 28 to 1378 of the family's 1533-position model. The record is from RNAcentral.